RNAcentral lists this ribosomal RNA (479 nucleotides) under uncultured bacterium. RNAcentral's name for it is "bacterial SSU rRNA". It matches the Rfam family "Bacterial small subunit ribosomal RNA", at positions 37 to 507 of the family's 1533-position model. The record is from RNAcentral.
UGGCGGCAGGCCUAACACAUGCAAGUCGAGCGGUAACAUUUCUAGCUUGCUAGAAGAUGACGAGCGGCGGACGGGUGAGUAACGCGUAGAAAUCUACCUAGUAGUGGGGGAUAGCCCAGAGAAAUUUGGAUUAAUACCGCAUACGCCCUACGGGGGAAAGCGGGGGAUCUUCGGACCUCGUGCUACUAGAUGAGUCUGCGUCGGAUUAGCUUGUUGGUGAGGUAAUGGCUCACCAAGGCGACGAUCCGUAGCUGGUCUGAGAGGAUGACCAGCCACACUGGAACUGAGACACGGUCCAGACUCCUACGGGAGGCAGCAGUGGGGAAUAUUGCACAAUGGGCGCAAGCCUGAUGCAGCCAUGCCGCGUGUGUGAAGAAGGCCUUAGGGUUGUAAAGCACUUUCAGCAGUGAGGAAAGGGGUGUCGUUAAUAGCGCCAUCCUGUGACGUUAACUGCAGAAGAAGGACCGGCUAACUCCGUG